AUUGAACGCUGGCGGCGUGCUUAACACAUGCAAGUCGAUCGGUAACAGGUGUAGCAAUACAUGCUGACGAGAGGCGGACGGGUGAGUAAUGCUUGGGAAUCCUGCCUAUUAGUGGGGGACAACCCGGGGAAACUCGGGCUAAUACCGCAUACGCUCUACGGAGGGAAAGCCGGGGACCGCAAGGCCUGGCGCUAAUAGAUGAGCCCAAGUCGGAUUAGCUAGUUGGUAGGGAACGGCCUACCAAGGCGACAAUCCGUAGCCUGGUCUGAGAGGACGACCAGCCACACCGGAACUGAGACACGGUCCGGACUCCUACGGGAGGCAGCAGUGGGGAAUAUUGGACAAUGGGGGCAACCCUGAUCCAGCGACGCCGCGUGGGUGAAGAAGG
RNAcentral lists this ribosomal RNA (388 nucleotides) under uncultured bacterium. RNAcentral describes it as "bacterial SSU rRNA". It matches the Rfam family "Bacterial small subunit ribosomal RNA", at positions 29 to 414 of the family's 1533-position model. The record is from RNAcentral.